This 383-nucleotide long non-coding RNA is filed under the name Fragaria vesca (wild strawberry). RNAcentral describes it as "long non-coding RNA (FVES_LNC003833)". The record is from RNAcentral. Lineage: Eukaryota; Viridiplantae; Streptophyta; Magnoliopsida; Rosales; Rosaceae.
GUGAUUUGGACGUGAAAUAGAAACGUGAAAUUUAAUAAUUUUUUUAGUUUAGGGCCAUUCCUGAUUAAGGACAAAGUACAGGACCCAGCGACCAAAAACCCUAGGACAACACUAGGUUUUGUUUAGUUUUAGGACAAAGUUCACAAGUAGUUCUGGAUUGAUACAAUCUAAACUUCGGUGUAGAUUUCUUCUUGUCGUUUUCAUCUAUGUUAAUUGUUUACUUCCGUUACCAUCUAUGGUGUAAAUCCAACUCAUAAUACUAGACCUAAUGAUAUAUCACGUACGUACUUACCUUGAUUUAAAAUCGGUAUCUGUAAACUGUCAUAAAUGAGUAGACUCUUAGCCACAAACAUUACAAAGAUCUAAAAAUUAUAUUUAAACGA